Molecule: long non-coding RNA, 206 nt
Filed under: Olea europaea (common olive)
Lineage: Eukaryota; Viridiplantae; Streptophyta; Magnoliopsida; Lamiales; Oleaceae
Description: long non-coding RNA (OEUR_LNC011072)
Source: RNAcentral
AAGAUUCUGCUGAAACCACCAGCUCCUGAUCUCCAACAAUUGUCUCCUCCAAGUGGAUCACCAAGAAUGACUGAUUCUUAUACUCUUCCUAUGCUCGUAGUCCAAACACUAUUAAUCUUCAGUAGCGUCGGAAGUUUAAUUGAGAAAGUACCUUUCUAAGGGUAUUUAGGAAGUAGGUAUUUUGAAUUGAAUGGAUUCGGUGUUUU